Molecule: RNA transcript, 1123 nt
Organism: Setaria italica (foxtail millet)
Lineage: Eukaryota; Viridiplantae; Streptophyta; Magnoliopsida; Poales; Poaceae
Exons: 5
Source: RefSeq, a predicted model, not a curated record
UCCCUCCCUGCACGCGGCGCUCCUUUCCCCUCCCGCGCCGCCACCCAAAAUCCCCACCGAGCUCCAGGCCUCCCGCAUCCCGCCGCCCGUUCUUUCCCCUCCCGCGCCGCCCGGCCACCCAAAACUUGGUCCGCCUCCCGCGCCGCCAUCCACCGAGCUCCCGGCCUCCCGCAUCCCGCCGCCCCUUCUUCCCCUCCUGCGCCGCCACUCCAUUUUUUCCCCAGCCUCCCGCGCCGCCAUCCCGAGCUCCCGCAUCCCCCCCAUCCCCCGGUCGCGUCUCCGUCCCAGGCGCUCCGCUGGUGGGGGACGAUGCUUUGUGCCGCCGCUCGUCGGUGGGGGCGAGGCUUUGCGCUGCCGCCCGCCGAAGACACGCCGCGCCGGACGGUGAAUGGGCCCCAAGCUGCGAGGCCGUCGAUGAACCCCCAAGUCGCGAAGCUCCGAUGUUCCCAAGAUCCAGCCACGUUUCCUCCAUCUGUAGUUGCCGCACAUGGUACACCGAGGCAGCCUGUUCUUCCCGUCGGCUCCAUCCUCCCCUUGCUGAUCCGGUGCUUUGACUCAACGGGUUGGCUCCCCAAGCAAGUUCAUGGUGGCAUCCUCCUUGACGUGAAGAAAGCAAGGUAUACCAUGGGAGAAUCUCUCCAGGAAGGUCACCAAAAGAAAGCAAGGUGAGGAUAUGUGUACAGGCAGUUCAAUGUUUGUUUACUUUAGUAAGAUUGCCUUAAGUGUAGUACUGUAACUUUACAAGCAAUGAUAUCUCUGUUGUUGGCAUGAAGCUGUUUGCCAAGAAGGGCUCAGGUCGACAUUUUCUACCUCAAGGUUUGGAGGUUUUACUGAAAAUGUUUGAUUGAAGUCGUCGGUUUCCAGCAGGCAGAGUGUCUAGAAUAGUUUCUGUUGUUUAUGUAUAGUUGAUUCUUCUGUCAGAUUCAUGUGUACUAAGAUUAUCGUGGCCAAACAUUUCGAUUGUCAUGAUUGUAUAUAUGCUAUAAUGUAAUGAUAGAUGUGUUCUGGUUGACUUGAUAAAGUCAUUUGAGUCAACUCUGGUGUAUUUGAGAAGCAUAUUUAAAUGAUAUUUGUAUUAUUGAAAUGUGGCAUCUGUAUAAAAUUAAAUAUGAUUACCCUGUCA